Molecule: ribosomal RNA, 311 nt
Filed under: uncultured soil bacterium
Lineage: Bacteria
Description: bacterial SSU rRNA
Rfam family: Bacterial small subunit ribosomal RNA
Source: RNAcentral
GGAUUGAACGCUGGCGGCAUGCUUUACACAUGCAAGUCGAACGGUAACAGGCCGCAAGGUGCUGACGAGUGGCGAACGGGUGAGUAAUGUAUCGGAACGUGCCCAGUCGUGGGGGAUAACGCAGCGAAAGCUGCGCUAAUACCGCAUACGAUCUAAGGAUGAAAGCGGGGGACUUCGCAAGAGGCCUCGCGCGAUUGGAGCGGCUGAUAUCAGAUUAGGUUGUUGGUGAGGUAAAAGCUCACCAAGCCGACGAUCUGUAGCUGGUUUGAGAGAACGACCAGCCACACUGGGACUGAGACACGGCCCAGACU